Tupaia belangeri chinensis (Chinese tree shrew) is the source of this 5805-nucleotide long non-coding RNA. RefSeq lists it as uncharacterized. The transcript has 3 exons. NCBI's taxonomy places the organism in Eukaryota, Metazoa, Chordata, Mammalia, Scandentia, Tupaiidae. The record is from RefSeq and is a predicted model, not a curated record.
ACCCGUAACACCCCGAUCUCUUCCUGCUGACCGACUCUGAGAAAGGAAAUUCAUACAAGUUUCAAGCUGGCAAUAGGAUGAAUGCUAUGCUGUGGUUUAAGCAUCUGAGUGCAGCCUGCCAAAGUAACAAGCAACAGGUCCCUACAAACUUAAUGACUUUCGAAUAAAAGCCUGAGAAAGAAGAGCAGUGAAGUGCCGCUCUGCCGUGAGAGCGCCAGCUGCAGACCACCCCGUGCCAGGAGCAGCCCAGGGGCUCUGGUCAGCCUUUGGAGUUCUGAACCAAAAAAGCACUAAUUUCAGGGAAUCAAGUGAGAUAUUCCCAAAAAACAAAUUGGAGUUGUAUAACAAACUGCCAUGAACCAUGCUUCUUAUCUCUGAACUGACCUGUGGAAACCACUGCCUUAAAAGAAUGAAAGGAAAACCAACAUGAAACACCAAAUAGUGUGUGUGAAUCUCCUGGCGGUGCUGUGCUUGGAAUAGAUUGUAGAUAAUUUGCAUUUCUUUUAACUUUGUACUAAUUUUGGAGGGGGGAAUCACCUUUUUUAGAUACACUUUAAAGAAGAGCAACACAUUUUCUUACAGAUUAUAUCAGGAGCUGGUUUGGGACUGAGCGGGAGGAUGCGUUAGCCUGGUGGAGAUUGUCCCAAGCCCGCCUGCAGGGUGCGUCCAUCCUCGGGGAGUCUGCAGUCUCACUCGCGUUCUCAGAGAGUGUAGGGAGUAGAUGUGUUUGUAGUGUGAGUUGUUGGGUUUUAUGUGGAAUUGGGGGGGAGGGCAUUUUGUUUUGGAUGGGGGAAGUUUUUUUAAACACUAAGCUUCUACAAUUUAGUAUUGUACAGGGAACAUUAUUUUCUGCAGGAGGUACCAAGGCGAGUGUUCAUAUGCUAGACACUUUUUUAAAUGUAGGCUCCAGAUGGCACGGCUGUUUCUAACGGGGGUUAAAGUUUAGCUUUCUAUGUGCUUUAUGAAUUCAUUGUUGGACCACAGAUCUGCUUAGUAGAGAACCGUAAUCUCAACCUAAACUUCCGUUAGAUUUUACAAUUAGAUUUUUCAAGUGAAUCGGAUUAUCCCUUCUCUCGGUUAUGGAUGAUUUUUAUCAUUGAGGUGAUAUGUUGCUAUUUUGCCAGGAUAUUUUCUUUUACAGUGUUUAUUGUGCGUAAUGCCAGAGUUAUUUUUUUAUUGCUCAUUUUCAUUAUUUUUGUUCAAUAUGAAAUUCAGGAUUAGAUUUUAAAAAGAGUCCAUGUAUGUAUGUAUGUAUUUUAAGACAUAGAAAAUAAUUUUGAGAGGGAUAAAGGUGAAAGUUUGAGAUUCUGGGAUUUUUAGGUAUCACUACUUUUCUCCUCCUCUGACUAACCAUAAACAUACCAUAGGUCCCUGACAUGAAAGUGUUGUUUUGUCGGUAGUUAACUAGGUGGUUUUAUGAGCACUCAUCUAUGCAAUAAUGCAUUUAGUUUCUGAAAUAAAUGUUGACUUAUUAAAAGGAAAACACCUUUGAGGGUGAGAUAACCUUAGAACUUAAACAAAAAAUGACACUUGAACAAAUGUUGAAUGUUACAAACUUGUAAAGCAUCAUAAAUUUUAGCCCAAAAUAAGAAAUGCUUUUUGACUGGUAUCUGCUAACAGGCUUCAUUCACUUUGAGCCUCCCAUAAAAUUUCUCACAUUUGUAUUAUCAGACAAUUUUGUAAUUUUUUUUAAUCCUGAGUAUUUUGCCCCUGAGUCCAUGGAAACUUAAAUAGAAAAUAUUACCUGUACAAUAAUUAACUAAAUAUCUAUCUAAACCUAUCCAAAGGAAAAAUAGAAGAGCUUUUCUGAGUGUUAAGUUUUGUAAACUUAGUGUUCUGUUUGGAAAAGAUGUUAAGAGUUCAUUUAUGUUUUUCUUAUAACACAGUUAGAAAUACCACUGUUUUAGUGACAAGGCUAGAGAGGGCAAAAUGUUGCCUGUGCUGAAUGAUUUCUCACUUGAUGGUCUCUGAAGCUUACCCCAUGUUGGGUGCGUAGACAUCGUCCACAUAGCCAGCAGUAUUACUGUGUAGACCUUGCACAACUUAACUUCUGUUUUGCAUUUUUAAAAUUCCUUAAUUUGUUUAUUUCUCUUCAGAAAUAGCAUUUUUAACAGUGUGUGUGCUUUUUUUUUUUUUAUAUUGUGAAUGAGAACCCUGUGGAUUUAUUUUUAACUAUUAUUUUGUCAGAAAUAAGCUAAAGUGGGUUUGCUGUAGGUUAAUCAUAUCUGUGGAGAUAUGCAACUGGAAGUCAGAGCCUGAUAUCACACAGUGUUGCCAAAGAGAGAGAAAGCUAAGAUGUGUUUGAUAUUUUCAGCUCUAAACAUGAAUGGAUGCUUGCAUACAGUAAGAAUAGUGCUCAGAUUUGGUUCAUAGCCUGUCAGUAGAAUUGAGAUCGCUGACCAACUGAUGCUUGUAAAAUAGCAAUGCAACAGAAGUUGUCAUUUUUCUAUCUUCAGAUUUGUUCAUUUAAAAGAUUAGUCAUUGCUAUUUAAGAUUAUUUUAGAAUUUGAAGCAAACUGAAACCAGCAAGAAAAGAGAAUUAAAAUAGUAUGAGUGGACUUCUAGUCUCUAAUUUGCCAAAUUACCUCUGAUAAUAACUCACACGAAGAAAAUAGAAGUCACCAAAAUAUACGAAACAUUUGGGUAGCUUUUUAGUGGGAAGAUGAAUCUUCUUAUUAAGACUAUCUCCGUUUGUAAAUUAGUGACACUAGCACUCAAAAUUUGCAUCAGCAUUAAGCUCAUUUUUUCCUCCCCUAACCAAAAACUCACUGAAAAUUCCACUGUGAUUUCAAUUUAAGCUGGUUAAGUGUCACAGGUGACAUAUUUAACACAGCCUGGUAUAGUAGCGUAUAAAACUAGCCAGAAUACAAUGUGGGGCACGUUUUAUUUUAAUAAUUCAUUCAAACAUGAGGCUUAUUUCUCAUAUGGAAGUAUCUGUUUUAAAAAUAUUACUAGAAAAAUAACUACAUAAUGACCUUCCUGAGCACUAUUUUUGGUUUUAUGCCCCUUCUAUGUUCAGGCUGUGUCAUUUUUUGAAAGUACUAUUUUUACUGUAACCUUCAAACUGUAAGAAUUUAAAGAGAACUGAUCAAACACACCUUUCUGUUUCCUUUUCUUCACCAUGUACAUAUUAUUUGUGUAAACAUCACAAAAAGGAAUUCGAACAAUUUGAGUUUGAGGAUUUUUUCUUAGGCCUGUGCUUCAAUGACAAGUAUUUUUCCUGUGUGAAAAAUGCCAUACAACUAUUGCACUACCUUCUGUAUGAACUGUGUUGGUAUCGGGUCUGUAUGUCAAGAGCCGGGUGUUUAUAGCUGCAGAGUUUUUUAAAUGGUUUUAUUCCUCUUCUAGAAGAGUUUUAAAGGAACCUAGGAAGCACUUAAUUUGUAGAAGGAAAAGGAAUAGGAAUGUUUACAGUCUCUAGCGUAUCUAUGUUAGUUGAGACCGUCUAUGAGUAGCCUGUUGACCUCGGGAUUUUUCAAAUUUACCUGGCCAAAUGACGUGAGCAUUAGUCUUUUUCAUUUCUUUCUUUUUAAAAGUCCAGUCUGUAAGCCGUAUGCUUUUACUACUAUAAACAAAACUAUAGGGCAUCAUACUUGGAAAUCAGUAGUAAUAAAUUUAAUUCAUCAGCUUUUUAAAAGAAUAUAUUCACUAUUGAUUUCCUUCCAGUUUUUCGAGGUACACUCUCUUACAAUCAGUUUUUAAGCCACCCCAUUAUCUUCUGCAAACAAGGGGUACCAGUGUUGCUUACCAGAAGGUAAUCUUUAAUAAAAAAAUUUUAAAAAACUUCUGCUUCAAAUAAUCGGAUCCCUUUAUGAAAAUGAAGAUGAAUUUGGCCAUGUCCUGGUGGAACAGUAGUGCUGUAUUAGCCGAUGUAAAGCCAGUGCUGAGGUUUGUCUGACUUCUUUAGUGACCUUAUAGGGUUUGCUUUUAUUUUCUCUCUCUUCUUUUGUAUGACUUCUUUCAAACAUAGCAAAUUUAUGAUUUUUACAGCCAGAACAGUAUUCUGUUUUUUCUAAGUUUUAAGAUACAAAAAGUGCUAUUUAAUCACAUCGAUGUUCAAUUAUUUUCGAUGUGAACCUUUUCAGAAUGAGUUGAGUACCUUUUGGUUUUGCUCUCCUAAAAAUGGCUUGUGUCUAAAGAGACUUUUUUUUUUUCAUAUAUGGAGUGUUCUAAUGAAAGAGACCUGUGUAUACUAACUCAAGCUUAUUUAAAGCAAUUGCAUUACACCUGUGUUUGAAGUCACAGUGUGGGGAAAAUUUGGUCAGUGCCUUAUCAAUUUGAAGACCAAUUUUAGGGCAUCAAGUAUGACAAUAACCAUUUGUCCUCUUGCUCCUCUGAUUUCAGGAGUGUGUGCUAGCCCUCUCUCCACCAGCUUAAUCUUUCUCACAGCAAGUCUUAGGAAGUCUAUACAGAUACCUCUAGGUAAUUGUCACAGUCCUCCUUAGUUUUUGAAAAGUGUUUGUUUAAAAGCUCCCUCCUUGUUUCUCUUCUUUUAGAGUAGAUUAAAAAUAAACCUACCCAGAUCAACCUUAGAUAAGCACUCUGAAAAACAAUUUUGAAAAGCAUUCAGCCAAGUGGGUUUUUAUUUUGUUGUCGAUGUUGUUUUGGACAUAGCUGUAAUUAUAAGGCCUUUUAAAAAAAAAAUCCCUAUAAAACACAGCUGAAAGGUUUGUUUGAAUUUCAUUAAAGGUACUGAAAUCUUAUAGCAAGAGCCCUCUUUGGCCAAAAAAUAAUUCAGUUAAUUAUUAUAUUUAAAUGAGACUCGGAAUGAACAAGCAGUCACUUAACCCACUACUUCUUGUUUUACUUGAAAAUAUUGUACAACAAAGUGAGAUCAGCUCCAGUAUAUAAAUUAGAGUUUUCUCGGUAAAAACAAAGUUUGGAAAUAGUUUGCUUCACUAGGUUAUUGGGAGGCCUGGAACUACUAUUGUUCUUCUGAGUCAAGAUGCUAUUUUCACUUUGUAAAAGGGCUAGUGUGUUCUGCAUAGGCAGGUAGACAUAGUCUUUUAAGCCAAAUAAAAGGGUCAACUGGUCUUUGAGGGUUGUUUAUUAGCAGAAAAUGGAUUUUGGUUCUAGCCAUUUGGACUGCAAGUGAUGGCGGGAUUUUAAAAAUACAUCUUUAGAGUACUUUGGGGUUGAAUUUUUUUUCAUAAUAGAAAAAGCAGAAAAAUUCACAAACAUUAGCUGUGCUUUAGGUAUCAAGUAACAAAUACUCAGUUUCCCCUGAAGGUAUCACCUGCUCUUGGGUCGUUGGAAAAGUCAUGAUGCAUUUCACAUUAAAAAAAUAGAAAAAUUGAUCAUGACUUUUCCAACAACCCAGUAGAACUAUUCGCAAAUAUAGUCCAAUAAUUAUUGACUUAGCAGGUGUGACAGAAUAGCUGAUAAUUAGUCACCAGACUCAAGAAUUUCCAUACCUUGAUUAUUGACAAACUCAUUGUUUUAGAACCUUCUGAAGUGUGUGUGUGUGUGGGGGGGGGGGGGGCUGCUGGGAAACUGGUUCACAGAAUAAUCUAAAGGAAAUCAAACAUCUGUAAGUACCCAAUGAUGACAAUAUGCAGGAAAACACAAGCCAUUUUUUUCUUCUUUAUCCCAAUUAACUUGAGGUACUCCAGUGAUGAAGCACUUGGUUGCACUAUGACCUCCUUGAGUGAUGUGCAGCUUGAUUCCUCUCUCACUUUUUGUUUCUUUUUAAUAUGCAAAUGUGAGUGCGUGACCUUCAGUGUGUUUGCAUAAUAAGCUAACUUAAAAUGAAUUUAAGUACGGUUUUCUGAAAUAUUUCUAUUGAAAUAAAUGACUUAAAAUAUA